This 450-nucleotide ribosomal RNA is filed under the name uncultured bacterium. Its description in RNAcentral is "bacterial SSU rRNA". It matches the Rfam family "Bacterial small subunit ribosomal RNA", at positions 28 to 478 of the family's 1533-position model. The record is from RNAcentral.
GAUGAACGCUGGCGGCGUGCUUAACACAUGCAAGUCGAGCGAAGCAGUUAAGUUGAUUUCUUCGGAUUGAUUCUUGACUGACUGAGCGGCGGACGGGUGAGUAACGCGUGGGUGACCUGCCCCAUACCGGGGGAUAACAGCUGGAAACGGCUGCUAAUACCGCAUAAGCGCACAGAGCUGCAUGGCUCGGUGUGAAAAACUCCGGUGGUAUGGGAUGGGCCCGCGUCUGAUUAGGCAGUUGGCGGGGUAACGGCCCACCAAACCGACGAUCAGUAGCCGGCCUGAGAGGGCGACCGGCCACAUUGGGACUGAGACACGGCCCAAACUCCUACGGGAGGCAGCAGUGGGGAAUAUUGCACAAUGGGGGAAACCCUGAUGCAGCGACGCCGCGUGAGCGAAGAAGUAUUUCGGUAUGUAAAGCUCUAUCAGCAGGGAAGAUAAUGACGGUAC